RNAcentral lists this transfer RNA (68 nucleotides) under Brillia bifasciata. RNAcentral describes it as "tRNA-Phe". The record is from RNAcentral. Lineage: Eukaryota; Metazoa; Arthropoda; Insecta; Diptera; Chironomidae.
AUUCAAAUAGCUUAUAAUUAGAGCGUGACAUUGAAGAUGUCAAUGAGGUACAAGUUAUCUUUGAAUAA